This 777-nucleotide ribosomal RNA is filed under the name uncultured bacterium. Its description in RNAcentral is "bacterial SSU rRNA". It matches the Rfam family "Bacterial small subunit ribosomal RNA", at positions 749 to 1527 of the family's 1533-position model. The record is from RNAcentral.
AGGUUCGAAAGCGUGGGUAGCAAACAGGAUUAGAUACCCUGGUAGUCCACGCCGUAAACGAUGUCUACUAGUCGUUGGGUCCCUUGAGGACUUAGUGACGCAGCUAACGCAAUAAGUAGACCGCCUGGGGAGUACGGCCGCAAGGUUAAAACUCAAAUGAAUUGACGGGGGCCCGCACAAGCGGUGGAGCAUGUGGUUUAAUUCGAUGCAACGCGAAGAACCUUACCUGGUCUUGACAUAUCUAGAAUCUUGUAGAGAUACGAGAGUGCCUUCGGGAAUUAGAAUACAGGUGCUGCAUGGCUGUCGUCAGCUCGUGUCGUGAGAUGUUGGGUUAAGUCCCGCAACGAGCGCAACCCUUGUCCUUAGUUACCAGCGGGUUAAGCCGGGAACUCUAAGGAUACUGCCAGUGACAAACUGGAGGAAGGCGGGGACGACGUCAAGUCAUCAUGGCCCUUACGACCAGGGCUACACACGUGCUACAAUGGUAGGUACAGAGGGCAGCUACACAGCGAUGUGAUGCGAAUCUUUCAAAGCCUAUCGUAGUCCAGAUUGGAGUCUGCAACUCGACUCCAUGAAGUAGGAAUCGCUAGUAAUCGCGGAUCAGAAUGCCGCGGUGAAUACGUUCCCGGGCCUUGCACACACCGCCCGUCACACCAUGGGAGUUGAUUGCACCAGAAGUGGUUAGCCUAACGUAAGAGGGCGAUCACCACGGUGUGGUUGAUGACUGGGGUGAAGUCGUAACAAGGUAGCCGUAGGGGAACCUGCGGCUGGAUCACC